Molecule: ribosomal RNA, 207 nt
Filed under: Alkalimonas amylolytica
Lineage: Bacteria; Pseudomonadati; Pseudomonadota; Gammaproteobacteria
Description: 16S rRNA. Bacterial SSU
Rfam family: Bacterial small subunit ribosomal RNA
Source: RNAcentral
UUUAAUUGAAGAGUUUGAUCAUGGCUCAGAUUGAACGCUGGCGGCAGGCCUAACACAUGCAAGUCGAGCGGUAACAUGCCUUCGGGUGAUGACGAGCGGCGGACGGGUGAGUAAUGCUUGGGUAUCUGCCCGAUGGAGGGGGACAACCACUGGAAACGGUGGCUAAUACCGCAUAAUGUCUACGGACCAAAGCGUGGGACCUUCGGG